UGGGGAAUCUUGGACAAUGGGCGCAAGCCUGAUCCAGCAAUGCCGCGUGCAGGAAGAAGGCCUUCGGGUUGUAAACUGCUUUUGUACGGAACGAAAAGGCUCUUUCUAAUAAAGAGGGCCCAUGACGGUACCGUAAGAAUAAGCACCGGCUAACUACGUGCCAGCAGCCGCGGUAAUACGUAGGGUGCGAGCGUUAAUCGGAAUUACUGGGCGUAAAGCGUGCGCAGGCGGUUAUAUAAGACAGAUGUGAAAUCCCCGGGCUCAACCUGGGACCUGCAUUUGUGACUGUAUAGCUAGAGUACGGUAGAGGGGGAUGGAAUUCCGCGUGUAGCGGUGAAAUGCGUAGAUAUCAAGAGGAACACCUGAGGUGAAGACGGGUUGCUGGGCUGACACUGACGCUGAGGCGCGAAAGCCAGGGGAGCAAACGGGAUUAGAUACCCGAGUAGUCCCUGAGCGGGCUGGCAAGGCGCAU
RNAcentral lists this ribosomal RNA (472 nucleotides) under uncultured bacterium. RNAcentral describes it as "bacterial SSU rRNA". It matches the Rfam family "Bacterial small subunit ribosomal RNA", at positions 355 to 825 of the family's 1533-position model. The record is from RNAcentral.